RNAcentral lists this ribosomal RNA (238 nucleotides) under Rhizophagus clarus. RNAcentral's name for it is "partial small subunit ribosomal RNA". The stretch from base 40 to 238 matches the Rfam family "Eukaryotic small subunit ribosomal RNA", at positions 686 to 886 of the family's 1831-position model. Lineage: Eukaryota; Fungi; Glomeromycota; Glomeromycetes; Glomerales; Glomeraceae. The record is from RNAcentral.
GGGUCAGUAGGUUGGUCGUGCCACCGGUACGUACUGGUCUCACUGAUUCCUCCUUCCUGAAGAACCGUAAUGCCAUUAAUUUGGUGUUGCGGGGAAACAGGACUGUUACUUUGAAAAAAUUAGAGUGUUUAAAGCAAGCUAACGCUUGAAUACAUUAGCAUGGAAUAAUGAAAUAGGACGAUCGAUCCUAUUUUGUUGGUUUCUAGGAUUGACGUAAUGAUUAAUAGGGAUAGUUGGG